CACGUAGGGGACGAGCGUUGUCCGGAUUCAUUGGGCGUAAAGCGCGCGUAGGCGGCUCGGUAAGUCGGUCGUGAAAUGCCGGGGCUCAACCCCGGGACUGCGUCCGAUACUCCCGAGCUGGAGGCAGGUAGGGGAGAUCGGAAUUCCUGGUGUAGCGGUGAAAUGCGCAGAUAUCAGGAGGAACACCAGUGGCGAAGGCGGCACUCUGGGCCAGUACUGACACUGAGGAGCGAAAGCGUGGGGAGCGAACAGG
This 253-nucleotide ribosomal RNA is filed under the name uncultured bacterium. RNAcentral describes it as "partial 16S ribosomal RNA". It matches the Rfam family "Bacterial small subunit ribosomal RNA", at positions 524 to 776 of the family's 1533-position model. The record is from RNAcentral.